Molecule: non-coding RNA, 20 nt
Filed under: Rattus norvegicus (Norway rat)
Lineage: Eukaryota; Metazoa; Chordata; Mammalia; Rodentia; Muridae
Source: RNAcentral
UGUGCAUGAGCAUGGUGCCA